Molecule: ribosomal RNA, 305 nt
Filed under: uncultured bacterium
Lineage: Bacteria
Description: bacterial SSU rRNA
Rfam family: Bacterial small subunit ribosomal RNA
Source: RNAcentral
GCUCCUACGGGACGCAGCAGUGGGGAAUAUUGCACAAUGGGGGAAACCCUGAUGCAGCGACGCCGCGUGAGUGAAGAAGUAUUUCGGUAUGUAAAGCUCUAUCAGCAGGGAAGAAAAUGACGGUACCUGACUAAGAAGCCCCGGCUAACUACGUGCCAGCAGCCGCGGUAAUACGUAGGGGGCAAGCGUUAUCCGGAUUUACUGGGUGUAAAGUGAGCGUAGACGGCCAGACAAGUCAGAAGUGCAAGCCCAUAGCGCAACCCUGGGACUGCUGUUGAAACUGCCGGGCUGGAGUGCAGGAGAGG